Molecule: ribosomal RNA, 467 nt
Filed under: uncultured bacterium
Lineage: Bacteria
Description: partial 16S ribosomal RNA
Rfam family: Bacterial small subunit ribosomal RNA
Source: RNAcentral
GAUGAACGCUGACAGAAUGCUUAACACAUGCAAGUCAACUUGAAUUUGGGUUUUUAACUUCGGUUUGGGUGGCGGACGGGUGAGUAACGCGUAAAGAACUUCCCUCCCAGCUAGGGACAACAUUUGGAAACGAAUGCUAAUACCUAAUAUUAUGAUAAUAGGGCAUCCUAUAAUUAUGAAAGCUAUAAGCGCUGUGAGAGAGCUUUGCGUCCCAUUAGCUAGUUGGAGAGGUAACGGCUCACCAAGGCGAUGAUGGGUAGCCGGCCUGAGAGGGUGAUCGGCCACAAGGGGACGGAGACACGGCCCUUACUCCUACGGGAGGCAGCAGUGGGGAAUAUUGGACAAUGGACCGAGAGUCUGAUCCAGCAAUUCUGUGUGCACGAUGAAGUUUUUCGGAAUGUAAAGUGCUUUCAGUUGGGAAGAAACAAAUGACGGUACCAACAGAAGAAGUGACGGCUAAAUACGUG